GACGGAGGAUGCAAGCGUUAUCCGGAAUGAUUGGGCGUAAAGCGUCCGCAGGUGGCAGUUCAAGUCUGCUGUCAAAGACCGGGGCUUAACUUCGGAAAGGCAGUGGAAACUGAACAGCUAGAGUAUGGUAGGGGCAGAGGGAAUUCCUGGUGUAGCGGUGAAAUGCGUAGAGAUCAGGAAGAACAUCGGUGGCGAAGGCGGCCUGCUGGGCAGUGGCUGACGCUGAGACACGAAAGCCAGGGGAGCAAACGGG
This 253-nucleotide ribosomal RNA is filed under the name uncultured bacterium. Its description in RNAcentral is "partial 16S ribosomal RNA". It matches the Rfam family "Bacterial small subunit ribosomal RNA", at positions 524 to 776 of the family's 1533-position model. The record is from RNAcentral.